This 465-nucleotide ribosomal RNA is filed under the name uncultured bacterium. RNAcentral describes it as "partial 16S ribosomal RNA". It matches the Rfam family "Bacterial small subunit ribosomal RNA", at positions 28 to 507 of the family's 1533-position model. The record is from RNAcentral.
GACGAACGCUGGCGGCGUGCUUAACACAUGCAAGUCGAACGGAAAGGCCCCUUUGGGGGUACUCGAGUGGCGAACGGGUGAGUAACACGUGAGUAACCUGCCCUUGACUUCGGGAUAACUUCAGGAAACUGGGGCUAAUACCGGAUAGGAAUCCUUGCUGCAUGGUGGGGGUUGGAAAGCUUCGGCGGUUUUGGAUGGACUCGCGGCUUAUCAGCUUGUUGGUGGGGUAGUGGCUUACCAAGGCUUUGACGGGUAGCCGGCCUGAGAGGGCGACCGGCCACAUUGGGACUGAGAUACGGCCCAGACUCCGACGGGAGGCAGCAGUGGGGAAUAUUGCACAAUGGGCGGAAGCCUGAUGCAGCAACGCCGCGUGCGGGAUGACGGCCUUCGGGUUGUAAACCGCUUUCAGCAGGGGCGAAGCUUGUGGUGACGGUACCUGCAGAAGAAGCACCGGCUAACUACGUG